AGAGAGAGACAUGCGCGCAUAUCAAUAAGCGGAGGAAAAGAAACUAACAAGGAUUCCCUUAGUAACGGCGAGUGAAGCGGGAAGAGCUCAAAUUUGAAAUCUUCAAGGUUUUACCUUGACGAAUUGUAGUUUAAAGAAGUGUUUUCUGCUGAAGUUUUGGUAAAAGUUCUUUGGAAUAGGACAUCAUAGAGGGUGAGAAUCCCGUAUUUGACCAUUAUUUUCAGCUUUGUGAUACACUUUCAAAGAGUCGGAUUGUUUGGGAAUGCAGUCCAAAAUGGGUGGUAAAUUUCAUCUAAAGCUAAAUAUUGGCGAGAGACCGAUAGCGAACAAGUACCGUGAGGGAAAGAUGAAAAGAACUUUGAAAAGAGAGUUAAACAGUACGUGAAAUUGUCAAAAGGGAAGCGUUUGACACCAGUGUUGUUUUCUCGAAAAUCAAUUAAAAAUGGCUCGAUUUUGUAUUGUUGAGACCUUAAAAGCUCACUGUACAUUUUUCGUGUCUUUUUUAAUGCACUUUUCGUUUAACAAGUCAACAUCAGUUUCUUUUGUUGUAAAAGGGUCAUUGGAAGGUGGCUUUCUUUUCGGAGAAAGUGUUUAUAGCCUUUGGCCUCUGCAAUCGGAAGAGACUGAGGUCUGCAGCGUAGACUCUUCGGGGUUAGAUACAUUUGUGCUAAGUUAUAGCUUUUUAUAGACAACUUGUUGACUAUAAUUAGUCUUGCAGCUUACUCGCUUAUGCUAUUUUACCUACGCUUAGGAUGUUGAGUCGUAGAGCACGCAG
RNAcentral lists this ribosomal RNA (775 nucleotides) under uncultured Neocallimastigales. RNAcentral describes it as "partial large subunit ribosomal RNA". It matches the Rfam family "Eukaryotic large subunit ribosomal RNA", at positions 23 to 634 of the family's 3401-position model. Lineage: Eukaryota; Fungi; Neocallimastigomycota; Neocallimastigomycetes; Neocallimastigales. The record is from RNAcentral.